This 5219-nucleotide long non-coding RNA is filed under the name Marmota monax (woodchuck). The stretch from base 4827 to 4892 matches the Rfam family "tRNA". The record is from RNAcentral. Lineage: Eukaryota; Metazoa; Chordata; Mammalia; Rodentia; Sciuridae.
CGUAUUUUCUUCUUGUAAAUUCUUACAAACGUUCAUGUAAAUAAUGACUCCAGUUAUCAUAUCGUAUGUAGGUAAGACUUUAGAGAAAAUUAUUUUCUAGAAUGAAACUAUCUAUUAAUGAUUUCUGAGAAAAUUGAAUUCUUUAGCUUUUAAAUGUGGGAAAAUGCUACACAGGGAUAUAAUUUGUUUAAAGUAAGCUUUAUUUAUGCCAAGGAUUUUUUUUUUCUUUCUUCUUCAACAUCAAGAAAAUAAUGGGAAUUGAUUAGGCCAAAGUUUGCUUUUGCAGAUAUGCUGUUUAUUAUCUUCUGGAUAUCCUUCUCACUUUAUUGUCCUCAAGAGUGUCUGGUUGAAGGGAUGAAGUUUUGCAAAAAUAAACCACUACUGCAGUCAUGCCUAGUGUCUGGAAGAAGAAAAACAAACCAGCAUCAGUUUAAAAAAAAUUUUUUAACCCAAGAAACUUCAAAUGAAUUGUUUCAUAAAGAAGUUCAACAUUGGAGGAAGAAGCUCUAAAAUCAAGAUGCUGUGGCACAUCUUCCCUGUUCCUCUUCUCAGGCACCUCUGCAGAACUCGGGAACACAGAAUUGAAAAUCAUGGAGCUAGACAACUUCUUGUAUUCCCUUUGAGUAUCAAAAGCUCGCUUCAUUACUACUAUUAUUGACUGUAUUUAUAAGCAGGUAACUAAGAUAGGAUGUCUUAGUGAGCAGAUCACAUCUUUAGCAUUUGAUGUUCCUUGUAUGAUCAUGAGAUCUUAAAACUUUAAGAACAAGAGUUUUAAUAUUUUUCAAUAUUAUGUUUUUGAGUAAUACAAUCAAAACAUAGUUAUUGCUUCCUAUGUGGCCAAGUUACUGCUUAGUGGAUGAAAAAAACUUGGUGUUCCAGUUAUAUAUGAACUCAGAACUCAAUUCAUUAAAAUUAUUUUGCUAAGUCAUGCUAAGAUAUAUUGAAAUUUCUACUCAUAUUGUUUUUUUAAAUGUAUUUUGAGUCUGAAAUUAGUAGUGUAGAAAAUCACUAAAAGCACUAUGGCAUAAAAAGACGUAUGUAACUAAGAACGGUGAUAGUAAACAGGUACAGGAGGACCAAACUCUAUACAUGAAAAUUUUUAUGUUAUUUUAUAUUAGAGUGUAUCAGUAUUACUAUUUAUCAUUUAUAUAGCAUUUUAUAUCUGCAAAUUAUUUAAUAAUUUUUGUUUUUCUUUACAUUUCUAUGAAGUAGGACAGUUAUCCCACAUGAAAGGUAAAGAAAUUGAGGCACAGAACAGUAAAGCAGCCUAUUUAAAACAGCCAGUGAAUCAAUGGCAAAAAAUAGGGUUAGAAUGAUCAGGUUUUCUGAAUCCUAGAAUAUCAACUUACUCACAGGUGUAUUGUGUAUCAUUCUCUUUUAUAAGGUGAUUUUAUACAAGUAACAGUUCAUUGUUUUAAAGUUGUUUAGUCAUUGUAUGUGGAUAGAUCCUAUACAGAAUAAAUGCUACAUAAAGAAUGUGAUUUUAGGGGCUGGGAUUGUGGCUCAGCGGUAGAGCGCUCUCCUAGUACAGGCGGGGCCUGGGUUCCAGUCUCAGCACCACAUAAAAAUAAAGGUAUUGUGUUGUGUCCAUCUACACCUAAAAAAUAAAUAUUAAAAAAAAUGCGGCUUUAGUUAUGAAAGUUUAAGUGAUAAAAUUCAGGUUAUCAGGAAUGGCAGUGUUUAGCCAGUGUUUCAUACAUUGUGAAGUAUAAUUAAUAUUGUAUUUUGAUACAGGAGUUUCUUGACUAUCCAUGCCAAUGGAACCAUGAAUGGGCCAGAAAGAUGAAAUCAACAGAUGUUCUAUAAACUUUAUUUUUUAACAUCGGCUUUCUCCCCACAGAACUGUAUUAAUGCCACCAAGAAGUCAAAUAUUUAAGUAUAAUAUUAUUAAGUAUAAGCCAUACAAAGCAAGAGAAGCAAAGGGACUCUUAAAGACAUAAUGUUUAAUUAUUUUUUUAAUAAUGAGGAUUGAACGCAGGGAUGCUUUGCCUCUGAGCUACAUCCCUAGCCCUUUCUUUUCUUUCUUUCUUUUUUUGAGACAAGGUCUUGAUAAGUUGCCCAGGCUGGCCUUGAAUUUGCAAUCCCCCUGCCUCAGUCUCCUGAGUAGCUAGGAUUACAGAUGUUCACCGCUGUGCCCUGCUCAUUAUUUUUAUUUAUUUUAAAUUUUUAAAAAAGUUUUUGGUACCAGAUAUUGGACCUGAAGUGCUUUACCACUGAGCCACAUCCCCAGCCCUUUUUAUUUUUUGAGACAGAGCCUCGCUAAAUUGCUGAGGCUGGCUUUGAACUUGUGAUCCUCCUGCCUCAGCCUCCCAAACUUCUGGGAUUAUAUGUGUGCAUCCUGCUCCCAGGCCACUCAUCAUUUUUAAACAGGAAACUGAAGUCCAGUUGCCUCUUUACCUUUGGACUUGAUUAGAUCUUUUGCAAGUUUGAUUCUAUUGAAUGGCUUAGAAAGUACAUCCAAGAUUUUAUUAUAUUUUGUCUGCUUCCCUCUUUCAAAUUUCUAGAUAAGCAUUCUACUAUACAGUUGAGAUUUCUUGUUUGUUUUUGUUUUGGGUACUGGGAAUUGAGCCUAGGGGCACUUUACUAUUGAGCCACAGCCCUAUUCCUUUUAAUUUGUUGUGUUGUUGUUGUUUGUUUUUAAUUUUGAGACAGGGUCUCCCUUAGUUGUCUGGGCUAGCUUUGAACUGGCAAUCCCCCUGCCUCUCUCACAUUAUAUAGUUUCUUUAUUCCACUAGAUAUACCUUUUUCCUUUUAUCUUUCUAACCCUCACUCCCACUCCUAGUGCUGGGGAUCCAACUAAGGGCAUUGCCCAUACUAGGCAAGCACUCUAUCAAUGAGCUACAUCCUCAGCCCAGAGAAAAUCUUUUAAUUCCUUACUGAUAUUAUGUACUGCUACUUAAUUCCUUUGUUAAGGAUUUACAUUUUUAUUCAGCCUAUAAGGGGGAAAAAUGGAACGAUAUUUGUUUCUAUACCAAGGGUUCUCAACCUUGGCUACACAUUAAAGUUAUUUGUAAAGGUUUUUUUUUUUUUUUAAUUUAUUUAUUUAUUUUUCGGCGGACACAACAUCUUUGUUUGUAUGUGGUGCUGAGGAUCGAACCCGGGCCGCACGCAUGCCAGGCGAGCGCGCUACCACUUGAGCCACAUCCCCAGCCCCAAAAGGUUUUAAAAAUAUAGAUGCCGGGCUGGAGGUGUAGUUCAGUGAUAUGAGUUGGUUGUUUGUCGUGUUCAGGGGCCUGGCUUUGAUUUCCACCACAACCAAAAAAGUAAAAUACAAAACUUAGGCAAAUUAAAAUUUCUAGCAUGUUGGGCCUGGGCAUCAGUGUUUUCUCAAAAACAUCCCAGUGUUUCUUACAUGCAAAAUAGGCCCUCUAGUCAAGAUUUUCCUCUGUCCUCCCCAUACAUAUGCUAGGGAGGGGCAGUAGGACCAUCUGAUUCUUCCUGUCCACAGGAUCUCAAUCCUAUCACAUAAGGGAAUAUUUAAAAAACACAGAUGCAUGGGCCUGGCACAGUGACACAUGCCUGUAAUCCCAGGCUGAGGCAGAACAAUGUCAAGUUCAAGGCUAGCCUCAGCAAUUUAGGCCAUCAGUAACUAAGUAGACCCUGCCUCAAAGAAAAAAGAAAAGAAAAGGUCAGGGGCUGUUCUGCAGUAGUAAAGUCCCCUGGGUUCAAGCCAAAAAGUAAAAUACAAAAUGCAGGCUGGGAGUGUUUUUUAGUGGUACAAUGCUUGCCUGGCAUUCACUGGGUCCAUCUCCAGUACUGCAAAAAGAAAAUAAUAAUAAUAAAAUACAUAUAAUUUUUGUGACAUUUCAAGCCACCGUGUAUGUUCUCUAAUCUGAGUUAUUAAGAGGAUCAGAUAAUCAACAUUCUAGUAGGACGUCUAAAAGUGGCCCAUUUUUACUCGGGGAUAUAUUUGCAUUUUAUUUAAUCAUGGGUGUCACACUCUGGGAAUUCACUUAGUACUGUACUUAAAACUAAUAAAAGAACUAUAUUAUGAGUAUAUGGUUGAAAUACAAUAUAUGAAAUUUGCUUUAGUUUCUUUUAAAAGAAAGGAACCAGAACACUCUUCAAGCACCAUGAAGCUCAAUUGAUACACAUUAGCAUUCCGUAAAAUAAUGCACUGAAUCAAUUUUAUUCCAGUAAAGUGUAAUACUAGCUGCCUGCGGUGGUGAAUACCUGCAAUCCCAGCGACUGGGGAGGCUGAAGCAAGAGAAUCCCAAGUUCGAGGUCAGCCUCAGCAAUUUAGCAAAACCCUGUCUCAAAAAAUAAAGAGGACUGGGGGUGUUGCUCAGUGGUUAAGCACCCCUGGGCUCAAUCUCCAAUUUAAAAAAAAAAAUAGUACUAGAAAGGUAGGACAAUACUAAGAUAUGCUUUUUAAUUUAAUUUUUUAUUUGUUUUGUUUGAAACUGAAUGUUUACCACUGAGUUUACCAGUGUUUACCACAUCCCCAGUUUUUUGGCUUGAGUCAGGGUCUCACCAGGUUGCCAAGGUCAGUUUGCUGUCCCACUGUCUAAGACUUAAGUCUCUGGAAUUACAGGUAGGCACCACCAUGCUCUGCAAAAAGACAUGUUAUUUUAGGGCUGGGAUUGUGGCUCAGCUGUAGUGCGCUUGCCUAGCAUGUGUGGGGCCCUGGGUUCGAUUCUCAGCACCAUAUAAAAAUAAAUGAAUGGAAUAAAGGUAUAAAUAAAAAUUCUAAAGAUGUCUUAUUAGAUUUACUAUUUAAAAAGAUGUGUUAUUUUUAAAAGCCUAUAGAAAACUUUGGAAACAAAAGCCAUUUUCUUCUUCCCUUUACUUCAGUUAUUGCCCUUAAAAAAAAAAAAGAUUUGGCAGGUGGCUCAGCGGUAGAGCGCUUACCUAGCACGUAUGUGAGGCUCUGGGUUCGAUCCUCAGCACCACAUUUAAACAAAUAAAUAAUAAGGGUAUUGUGCUCAUCUACAACUAAAAAUAUUUUUUUAAAAAAAUAAAGCUUUCAAAAUAACUUAAAACAUGGCCAUAAUCAUUUAAGAACUACAUUUGCAGUCCAUACAUGACAAGUAUAUUCAUUGAGUCUCCUACAAAAAAAAUAAUAAUAAUAAUUCCAAUGACGAAAUGGGACUUUUCUUGCAUAAUUCAAAAAUGCUGAAAUAAAACACAGAUACUGUGCCUUUUAUUGUAUAUUGAUUUGACUUAAACUUUUUUCUCUAUCGGGAGGGAAGAGACCCACAACAAGCGCGGGCAGUGGA